Molecule: ribosomal RNA, 2923 nt
Filed under: Bacillus cereus
Lineage: Bacteria; Bacillati; Bacillota; Bacilli; Caryophanales; Bacillaceae
Description: 23S ribosomal RNA
Rfam family: Bacterial large subunit ribosomal RNA
Source: RNAcentral
GGUUAAGUUAGAAAGGGCGCACGGUGGAUGCCUUGACACUAGGAGUCGAUGAAGGACGGGACUAACGCCGAUAUGCUUCGGGGAGCUGUAAGUAAGCUUUGAUCCGAAGAUUUCCGAAUGGGGAAACCCACCAUACGUAAUGGUAUGGUAUCCUUAUCUGAAUACAUAGGGUAAGGAAGACAGACCCAGGGAACUGAAACAUCUAAGUACCUGGAGGAAGAGAAAGCAAAUGCGAUUUCCUGAGUAGCGGCGAGCGAAACGGAACAUAGCCCAAACCAAGAGGCUUGCCUCUUGGGGUUGUAGGACAUUCUAUACGGAGUUACAAAGGAACGAGGUAGACGAAGCGACCUGGAAAGGUCCGUCGUAGAGGGUAACAACCCCGUAGUCGAAACUUCGUUCUCUCUUGAAUGUAUCCUGAGUACGGCGGAACACGUGAAAUUCCGUCGGAAUCUGGGAGGACCAUCUCCCAAGGCUAAAUACUCCCUAGUGAUCGAUAGUGAACCAGUACCGUGAGGGAAAGGUGAAAAGCACCCCGGAAGGGGAGUGAAAGAGAUCCUGAAACCGUGUGCCUACAAAUAGUCAGAGCCCGUUAACGGGUGAUGGCGUGCCUUUUGUAGAAUGAACCGGCGAGUUACGAUCCCGUGCGAGGUUAAGCUGAAGAGGCGGAGCCGCAGCGAAAGCGAGUCUGAAUAGGGCGUUUAGUACGUGGUCGUAGACCCGAAACCAGGUGAUCUACCCAUGUCCAGGGUGAAGUUCAGGUAACACUGAAUGGAGGCCCGAACCCACGCACGUUGAAAAGUGCGGGGAUGAGGUGUGGGUAGCGGAGAAAUUCCAAUCGAACCUGGAGAUAGCUGGUUCUCCCCGAAAUAGCUUUAGGGCUAGCCUUAAGUGUAAGAGUCUUGGAGGUAGAGCACUGAUUGGACUAGGGGUCCUCAUCGGAUUACCGAAUUCAGUCAAACUCCGAAUGCCAAUGACUUAUCCUUAGGAGUCAGACUGCGAGUGAUAAGAUCCGUAGUCAAAAGGGAAACAGCCCAGACCGCCAGCUAAGGUCCCAAAGUGUGUAUUAAGUGGAAAAGGAUGUGGAGUUGCUUAGACAACUAGGAUGUUGGCUUAGAAGCAGCCACCAUUUAAAGAGUGCGUAAUAGCUCACUAGUCGAGUGACUCUGCGCCGAAAAUGUACCGGGGCUAAAUACACCACCGAAGCUGCGGAUUGAUACCAAUGGUAUCAGUGGUAGGGGAGCGUUCUAAGGACAGUGAAGUCAGACCGGAAGGACUGGUGGAGUGCUUAGAAGUGAGAAUGCCGGUAUGAGUAGCGAAAGACGGGUGAGAAUCCCGUCCACCGAAUGCCUAAGGUUUCCUGAGGAAGGCUCGUCCGCUCAGGGUUAGUCAGGACCUAAGCCGAGGCCGACAGGCGUAGGCGAUGGACAACAGGUUGAUAUUCCUGUACCACCUCUUUAUCGUUUGAGCAAUGGAGGGACGCAGAAGGAUAGAAGAAGCGUGCGAUUGGUUGUGCACGUCCAAGCAGUUAGGCUGAUAAGUAGGCAAAUCCGCUUAUCGUAAAGGCUGAGCUGUGAUGGGGGAAGCUCCUUAUGGAGCGAAGUCUUUGAUUCCCCGCUGCCAAGAAAAGCUUCUAGCGAGAUAAAAGGUGCCUGUACCGCAAACCGACACAGGUAGGCGAGGAGAGAAUCCUAAGGUGUGCGAGAGAACUCUGGUUAAGGAACUCGGCAAAAUGACCCCGUAACUUCGGGAGAAGGGGUGCUUUCUUAACGGAAAGCCGCAGUGAAUAGGCCCAAGCGACUGUUUAGCAAAAACACAGCUCUCUGCGAAGCCGUAAGGCGAAGUAUAGGGGGUGACACCUGCCCGGUGCUGGAAGGUUAAGGAGAGGGGUUAGCGUAAGCGAAGCUCUGAACUGAAGCCCCAGUAAACGGCGGCCGUAACUAUAACGGUCCUAAGGUAGCGAAAUUCCUUGUCGGGUAAGUUCCGACCCGCACGAAAGGUGUAACGAUUUGGGCACUGUCUCAACCAGAGACUCGGUGAAAUUAUAGUACCUGUGAAGAUGCAGGUUACCCGCGACAGGACGGAAAGACCCCGUGGAGCUUUACUGUAGCCUGAUAUUGAAUUUUGGUACAGUUUGUACAGGAUAGGCGGGAGCCAUUGAAACCGGAGCGCUAGCUUCGGUGGAGGCGCUGGUGGGAUACCGCCCUGACUGUAUUGAAAUUCUAACCUACGGGUCUUAUCGACCCGGGAGACAGUGUCAGGUGGGCAGUUUGACUGGGGCGGUCGCCUCCUAAAGUGUAACGGAGGCGCCCAAAGGUUCCCUCAGAAUGGUUGGAAAUCAUUCGUAGAGUGCAAAGGCAUAAGGGAGCUUGACUGCGAGACCUACAAGUCGAGCAGGGACGAAAGUCGGGCUUAGUGAUCCGGUGGUUCCGCAUGGAAGGGCCAUCGCUCAACGGAUAAAAGCUACCCCGGGGAUAACAGGCUUAUCUCCCCCAAGAGUCCACAUCGACGGGGAGGUUUGGCACCUCGAUGUCGGCUCAUCGCAUCCUGGGGCUGUAGUCGGUCCCAAGGGUUGGGCUGUUCGCCCAUUAAAGCGGUACGCGAGCUGGGUUCAGAACGUCGUGAGACAGUUCGGUCCCUAUCCGUCGUGGGCGUAGGAAAUUUGAGAGGAGCUGUCCUUAGUACGAGAGGACCGGGAUGGACGCACCGCUGGUGUACCAGUUGUUCUGCCAAGGGCAUAGCUGGGUAGCUAUGUGCGGAAGGGAUAAGUGCUGAAAGCAUCUAAGCAUGAAGCCCCCCUCAAGAUGAGAUUUCCCAUAGCGUAAGCUAGUAAGAUCCCUGAAAGAUGAUCAGGUUGAUAGGUUCGAGGUGGAAGCAUGGUGACAUGUGGAGCUGACGAAUACUAAUAGAUCGAGGACUUAACCAU